This is a long non-coding RNA of Numida meleagris (helmeted guineafowl), 1850 nucleotides long. Lineage: Eukaryota; Metazoa; Chordata; Aves; Galliformes; Numididae. The record is from Ensembl.
GUGCAGAGCCAGAACAGAUUCAGCCAAAGCAAAUUGCACCAGGAAAAGGUCACAGUCCAGCUUUCCAGUUUUACUUCUCCAAGGACUUCACAAACAAAGAAAUGGCGUGAGGUAAUCAGGCAUGGCAGCGUUCACUCUUCAAGACGAGCAAUAAGAGCAGCUGGCCACAGCCAGCCAUCCUGGCACAGCACAAACACAGUUAUUUGCUCCAGCAACAACAGUGCAGACAUUCCUGGGGAAACCAGAAUAUCACAUAACAAACAGCAGAGCACACCUCAGAGACUAAUUGAGCAUAGCAAGCCCUUAGGUCAUUUUAACACAUUUAGAAUUCUGCAUUGCAUCAGUGGGGAUUACAAAUUACUGGGAUUUAGAUGUUUGUCUGAAGAAGUACAAUACAGUAGGUAUAUUUUCCAGUUUGAAGAGGAAGAUCUGGCAGGAAUAGGCCUCCCACUGGACAACAUUUAUUAUCUGGGACCAAAUCCCAAUACCAGAAGUCUGAGAUGAUCUUGGCACAAGCAGAAAACAAAGGUAUAUUUUGCCUGGUGUAAGUGCACAGGAGCCCAGAACAUUAUUUGGGUGGAACCUCAGAGCUCCCAGGUAGAAACUAGAUCUCACAUCUACUUAAAUCAAUGGAAAUGCUUCCAGAGAUUCAUCUAGGUGAGAUUUGGACUGAAUUCUUCGCUAACACAAGUGAGGAAGAGAAGCAGUAAUAGGGGGGGAAUUGUUUUCAGGGAGUUUGAUAUUUGUCUGAAGCAAAAAUUUCCAGAGAAAACACCCUGAAAGGAAGAAUUUCUGUCACAGUAAAACAUCACUAUUUACCAUUAUAAUUCUAUUUUGACUUAAUAUGUCAUUAAAUGAACAUUACAAGCACUUUAACACAUCUGUGUGAAUAGGACAUACAUCACAAAAAAUAUACUCCUCUAGCAAGUUAAUCAUUGUUAAAUGAGAAAAAGCUCCAGUUCUUCUCCCUUUUUAAAAUUAAUUACAAAUAAUGCAAGCAUAAUGCUGUAAUGCUAUAAUGUGAAGGAAAGUACAGCAAUAAUAAUGGAGUGACACAAUCCUAGGCUGCAGCAAAUGAGAACAAGGCCCAGUGCAGCAGCCAUGGAUGCAGGAACAAAGGAAGAAUAACUGCUUACCUCUGGAAGGCCUCAGGUAUGCAGGAAUCUCCAGAUGAGAUGCCCUUACCUCCACUGCCAACCCUUAAAUGAGGUCUGGGAAGGAGUGGAGCCAGGAUCCACCCCUUCUGGUCACUCAGCUGCAUCGCUUGCACUUUAGCUCCCCUGGGUUGGCCCUGCCUUCCCACCAGGUGCUCAAUCACUGGUUCAAGCCAUGACUUAGCAUUUUCACUACAGCAACCCUAUAAGGCCAUAAGUACCUGUUCAAAAAAGCAUUUACUUCAAUAACUCUGAACUGUAAAUACAGCGGUUAAAUACAGUUUAGUUAUGUCUGCUUGAGCCUUUGGUGCCCUUUACAAAGAGGUAGUGUCAGCUCCUAGAAAAGCUGCUUUAUACUUCAAAAUUGUAUAAACACUCCAAAAAUUUUCUUCCAUGAGUAAGUUAUGAAUUAAGUAAUGUGGACCCCAGAAGAAAUUUGAAGAGAAGCUGAAUGGUUAUCACAUCAGUGCUGCCCAGAUUAGGGUUCAGUGCAACACAACUGUACCUAUGUAAAUAAUACCUUCUGGGAAGAGGAGGUUGGAAGUUGAGCUCAAGAACGAUGCAGCACAGUGUGUAAAAACUCCUUAUCAAGCAGGAAAACUCCAUAAUAUGUUUGACUAUGACAAAUGUGAAACAUAUUGACAUGAGAUGAAAGUGCUAGCAAUCUGCAAGAAAUAAAUUCCUGCAACAACAUCA